Angiostrongylus cantonensis (rat lungworm) is the source of this 71-nucleotide non-coding RNA. The record is from Rfam. Lineage: Eukaryota; Metazoa; Nematoda; Chromadorea; Rhabditida; Metastrongylidae.
GCAUUGGCGGUUCAGUGGUAGAAUUCUCGCCUGCCAUGAGGGCGACGCGGGUUCGAUUCCCGGCCAAUGCA